GGGGAUGUUUGGUCUUGACAGGGUAGGCUCCUGUUUAGCUGCACGUCGAGCCGCCCAGUCUCGUUAAAGGGGCACAAGGCAUAACUGCCACAAACAUCAGCGCUCCGUCGUUCGCCCGAACGACCGCGUUUGCUGCCUAGUUUUAGGUAGCACGUUUACCACUCUUCGCCCGGCCGAGUGAGUGAACGCAAACGCCGGGACGCAUCUAGAGAGCCGCCUGCGUAUCUAGAUUAAGCACAGUGGGAUCGUUGUAGCACUGCUUUGUUGCUGGUGUGGUGCUAUGACUAGACAAAACAAGUAACUACACGUGUAGACGCUAGCAGUUCGCUUAUUUUGGACGGGGGUUCGACUCCCCCCAUCUCCACCA
Molecule: transfer-messenger RNA, 367 nt
Filed under: Roseiflexaceae
Lineage: Bacteria; Bacillati; Chloroflexota; Chloroflexia; Chloroflexales
Also listed under: 1 other name
Description: UBA965 sp903889425 Standard tmRNA
Rfam family: transfer-messenger RNA
About the family: Bacterial tmRNA, also known as 10Sa RNA or SsrA, is named for its dual tRNA and mRNA-like properties. Its role is to liberate the mRNA from a stalled ribosome. To accomplish this part of the tmRNA is used as a reading frame that ends in a translation stop signal.
Source: RNAcentral